GAUGAACGCUGGCGGCGUGCUUAACACAUGCAAGUCGAACGAAGCACUCUAUUUGAUUUUCUCGGAAAUGAAGAUUUUGUGACUGAGUGGCGGACGGGUGAGUAACGCGUGGGUAACCUGCCUCAUACAGGGGGAUAACAGUUAGAAAUGACUGCUAAUACCGCAUAAGACCACAGCACCGCAUGGUGCAGGGGUAAAAACUCCGGUGGUAUGAGAUGGACCCGCGUCUGAUUAGCUGGUUGGUGAGGUAACGGGCCCACCAAGGCGACGAUCAGUAGCCGACCUGAGAGGGUGAACGGCCACAUUGGGACUGAGACACGGGCCCAAAACUCCUACGGGAGGCAGCAGUGGGGAAUAUUGCACAAUGGGGGAAACCCUGAUGCAGCAACGCCGCGUGAGUGAAGAAGUAUUUCGGUAUGUAAAGCUCUAUCAGCAGGAAAGAAAAUGACGGUACCUGACUAAGAAGCCCCGGCUAACUACGUG
This 483-nucleotide ribosomal RNA is filed under the name uncultured bacterium. Its description in RNAcentral is "bacterial SSU rRNA". It matches the Rfam family "Bacterial small subunit ribosomal RNA", at positions 28 to 507 of the family's 1533-position model. The record is from RNAcentral.